This 207-nucleotide unclassified non-coding RNA is filed under the name plant metagenome. Its description in RNAcentral is "partial contains small subunit ribosomal RNA and internal transcribed spacer 1". The stretch from base 1 to 46 matches the Rfam family "Eukaryotic small subunit ribosomal RNA", at positions 1786 to 1831 of the family's 1831-position model. The record is from RNAcentral.
AAGUCGUAACAAGGUUUCCGUAGGUGAACCUGCGGAAGGAUCAUUACCAUGUUUCCGAGCUAUGCCUUUGGCUGGCUCGAUUACACCCUUGCUCUUGCUCUUACCCUGUUUCCUGCGGAUGGCAUGGCUAAAGGCCAUGGCCGAAUUGGAACCAUUUUUAAACCUUGUACUUGCAAAUUCAGCGUCAGAAAAAUAUAAUUAUUAAAA